Tachyglossus aculeatus (Australian echidna) is the source of this 138-nucleotide small nucleolar RNA. The record is from RefSeq and is a predicted model, not a curated record. Lineage: Eukaryota; Metazoa; Chordata; Mammalia; Monotremata; Tachyglossidae.
UCCCUCUCAGGGUCUCAUCUGGAGAAUUUCCAGUACUCUACCAGUCUUGGCUAUGGGAGGGAGAGUCAAGUGGAGGCCUAGCCAUUCCAUUUCUAGCUUGGGCAGUGGCUAGCAAGUGGAAGGCAAUCUGCCACAAGU